This is a long non-coding RNA of Strongylocentrotus purpuratus (purple sea urchin), 229 nucleotides long. RefSeq lists it as uncharacterized. The record is from RefSeq and is a predicted model, not a curated record. The transcript has 3 exons. NCBI's taxonomy places the organism in Eukaryota, Metazoa, Echinodermata, Echinoidea, Camarodonta, Strongylocentrotidae.
UCUUCAGGCGAACAUUGACAUCGAAGUGAUACCCUAUGAUAUCAAGAAAAAUCCUAUGGAACAAAGAAGCAGAUAAUGAUCACAGAAGUGCAACAAAGAGCACCAGGACCUGAUCAUCAAAUGUUAUGGUGUAGAUCUAAUCAGGAACAAGACACCUAAGUUGAACUCUGGCAAGGUUGUCCCAUGCAGAAGGUUUGAUAUUUGGACUAGGGACUUGUACAAAAGAAGC